Molecule: ribosomal RNA, 337 nt
Filed under: uncultured bacterium
Lineage: Bacteria
Description: bacterial SSU rRNA
Rfam family: Bacterial small subunit ribosomal RNA
Source: RNAcentral
AGGGUUUGAUCAUGGCUCAGGAUGAACGCUAGCUACAGGCUUAACACAUGCAAGUCGAGGGGAAACGACAUCGAAAGCUUGCUUUUGAUGGGCGUCGACCGGCGCACGGGUGAGUAAUGCGUAUCCAACCUUCCGCUUACUCGGGGAUAGCCUUUCGAAAGAAAGAUUAAUACCCGAUGGUAUGAUGAGAUUGCAUGAUAGCAUCAUUAAAGAUUUAUUGGUAAGCGAUGGGGAUGCGUUCCAUUAGGUAGUAGGCGGGGUAACGGCCCACCUAGCCUACGAUGGAUAGGGGUUCUGAGAGGAAGGUCCCCCACAUUGGAACUGAGACACGGUCCAA